This is a non-coding RNA of Heterocephalus glaber (naked mole-rat), 10327 nucleotides long. The record is from RefSeq and is a predicted model, not a curated record. Lineage: Eukaryota; Metazoa; Chordata; Mammalia; Rodentia; Bathyergidae.
AAAAAGAGAAGAGUUAAGACAUAUUAUACACAGGUACAAAUUCCCUAUGAUGAAGAUGAUUAAUAUGUAUGACAAUUACAAACAAACAAAAAUAUAAAGUUAAAAUAAGAUUUUAAAAUAUGAGUCUACUGUAUUCUAUGGCAGAAUCCCAGUCUAGAGCAGCAUAUUGUUGAUAUUGCUUAAUACAUUUGCUUAAUUGGGGAAAAAAACCCUCAAAGGAGCAAGUAUUAAAAGAAUGAACCCAGUAGAUACAGAAACAUGACCAGGCUCUCAGAAUACAGAGCUCAUCACUGACUUUUCCUUUCCCUCAAAGAAAAUCACCAUCCUUGCUACCUUAAAGGGUGAACAGGUGAACAGGUAAAUUCUCCACGUGUGUUUCACACAAAAACUCCUAGGGCAGUUGAUGCCUUCGUUGGCUCCUUGCUGGCUUCAUGAAGGGGCCAGUGGAUGAUGGUGACAACCCCUGUCUACCACAGUGAGCUCUUCUGGCUGCAACCCAGUGCCCAGCAGGCUGCCAACACCCACCAAGACCUCACCACAGGGCGCCCACACCACAAAUGGGCCCAGUGGCCUGGAGCCUGCAUCCCAGGGCUGGCUUUCUUACUGAGGAAAAGGGACUUUGUCUCCCUAGGGCACUUGAGCUCUCAGUACUUUUCUUAGAGGAUUAAGUUUUUUUAAACAUUUUUUGUUUUUGUUUAUUUUUGUACCAGGGAUCGAACUCAAGACCUUGUGGUUGCAAGGCAGGCGGCAGAACCACUGAGCUAAAUCCCUGGCCCCUAAACAUUUUUAAUUUUUAUCCAUGAAUUUUUAAUUAGAAAAUUAAAAUUGUUUAUGGUGUUCAACAAGAUGUUUUGAUAUAUGUCUACUUUGUGAGAUGGCUAAAUCGGGCUAUUUACCAUUUGUAUUACUGGAGAUACUUAUUUUUUCAUGAUGAAAACACUUAAAAUCUACUCUCUUAACAAUGUCCCAGUAUGUAAGACAUUGUUAUUAACUUACUCAUUGGGACCUGCAGUACAGCUCUUAAAUGAAUUCUCAUCUGGCUGACGUUUUCAUUAAAGUUAACUAAUUUAUAGAUGAUAAAAAAGAUGGUAACUUAAUUUGAUGAUAUUUCAAGUGUCCACUAUAAUAUGUAAUACGCAUAACUGUAACAAGCUUUGUAAAUACAAGUGAGCUUAAAAUAAAAUGUGUAUUUACAAAUGAGAGUUCCCGGUAGCAUAGUAUUUCCAACUUUUUUUUUUUUUGCAAUUUGAAGGAUUUUAAUAUUAAUCACCACCUACUAUUUUACAUAGGUAUAAAAAUGAUACCCUAAGAGGGUGAAAUUCCCUAAACAUCCAUCACAAAACUACACCAAGAACUAUAAGCUCAUGUCUACAGGGCAGAGGGCACAGGCCAGAGUCUCGGUCAUCUUCCAGAGAGCUCCAUACUGGGACUGGCUUGCUUUAGGGAAUCACCCCUCCCUGCUUUAGGGAAGACAUCAAGGUCCAGAAUUAUACCACAUAUUUUAUUAAAAUUAUGAUCUAAAAUUUCAAUGCUUCAUAACUAUCCACUUUUAAAGCCUUUCAAAUAGUAUAAAGAAAAUGCAAGCUAGGCACUGUGGUACUCGUGUAUAGUCCCACCUACUAGAAAGGAUCACACACAUAAAACAUAAGCCCAGGACUUGGAAGACAGUGUGGACAGCACAGUGAGACCCCACCUCUUAACAUUAAAUUCUUUUCUUAAUGCCAAUCAAUGAUGCAAAAAAAGUUUUUCCUAUGGAAAACAAAAGAACUUCUGCUUCUGAUAAAGGAUAACCAGGAAAUUUGGAUCAAUUUUUCCAUUAAGGGCUGUCAGAUAAACUAUAUUUUAAAUAUGCUUGAAUGUAUUAGGAAGUCAAGAAAUGGUAAAUAAUUGCUGAGCCACAGCAUAGGGGAAGAUGGUGCCCAAGAAGCUCAGGCUAGCGUCUGGGACAUCUUUCUCUGUAACUGCUGCUUAUUCUGGAAGGAGCAGUUGGCAUUUCAGCAGCUCCUGAUUUAUGGUAACAGGGCUAGAAUGAUAGGGGUGGAGGUUUAAGAGUUGGAGGAGCAAAAACCCCUCACCAGCUCUGGGUUGAGAAGCGUAAGCUUAGUCCUGAGGUGACUCAGUCCCGAGGUGAGUCCUGCAACUCAGCUUCAGCUCAUCAUAGUCUCGGGGACCAUGUGCUCCAGACACCUAGCAGAAGAAAGGGAAACUCCUUUUUGAAACAUAACAUCUUCUACAACCUCAAAUUAUUCUUUCAAAUAUGUGUUCAGCACACCAUCAAAAACAGCCAAGCCUGAGUAGAAAAUACAACACUAAGAAAGGUGAGGAGGAAAAGGGUAGGGGAAGAUGCAACACACAAACACUAACCUAAGGAAAUCUGGAGGCUCUCUAUUAAUCUGAAAGUUGACUUUAAGGUGAAAAACAUAACUAGAAGUAGAAAAAAGGGAUAUUUCAAAUGACAAAUAGGUUCAGAAAGACAUAGCUCUUAAGUUUUAUAUAGCAAAUAACAAGCUUACAGUAUAGAGAGGAAUAUCUCACAGGUCAAAAUGAGGAAACAGAAAAAUCUUAAUUCCAUGGGGGAUUUUAACAUAUUUCAGUAACUGCUAGAACUUGAACAAUGAAAGAAUCAGGAAAAUAUAGACAGUUCACACAUGAUGACCAGUAAUUUGACCUUAUAGAAACAUAGAAUCCUGCAUUCAAAAUAAUUCUAAAUAAUUUUUCAUCAAGCAUACCUAAAAUAUUUUUUAAAUGACUGCUAUAGUUUGGAUCUUGACUGUCCCUCAAGGAUCCAUGUGUUAGCUUGGUUUUCAGCUUAGGCUUUGGGGAUGUGGUAGAAACUUUAACAGGUGGUACCUAAUGGGAAGUCUUUAGGUCACUGAGGGCAUCAGAGGGGAUUGUAGAACCAGGUCUCUUCCUUUCUCUCUCUUUUGCUUCCUGGUGAUGAGGUGACCAGCUUCCUAUGUCACAUGAUGCCCUCCAUGAUGUGCUGCCUCACCACAGGUCCAAAAGCUACAGGGCCAGCUGAUCAUGGACUGAGACCUCCAGAACUGCAAGCCAAAAUAAACCUUUUAUUUUUAUAACUUGAUUAUGUCAGGUAUCAUUAAAGUGACAGAAAGCAGACUAACACAAUGGCCAUUGACUUAAGUGUGAAAUUUUGGUCUCCCAAAUUUGAUCACUGUCUUCUUUUGAUCAACUUUCAGCUUCUCUGUAAACUCUCAACUCCAGCAAGGAUCAUUUUCCAUUGGCCACUUCUCCCACCAGCCCAACCCCACCAUUGCGUGGUCACUUGAAUACUUAACUGUAGGUCUAAAGCCACCUAGACUUUCCACCACAUUCAAAAUGGAAAUUCAUCUUUUAAAACUCAGCUCAAGAUUCAACAGAAAUCUGUAUUUCUACUAUGAUCUUUGUCUUUGUCUUCCUCUUUUCUCCAACAAAAAAGAAAUAACAGAAUUCACUAGGCACAAAAUGUUGCAGGGAAGGCCAAGUUACUUAAUUUUUUCCUAUAAGGGCAAACUUCAGUGGGUUUCAUGUGGGGAGGAAAGCCUCUUUCCAAAACUCCUGUGAGAAAUUACUUUGGCACAAACACCUGCAGCUACAGUGAGUGCUAAUAAUGCAACAAGGAGACGGGACAUAUGGCCCUAUACUAGACCAGCUUGGCUAAGCCCUAAUGAGGUUUCCCAUAAUUUCCUUCUAUACAUGGUCUUGGGUUAGAGUUGACCAUAAAGGAAAUCUGAUGUAGUUUUGGGAGGCAGAAGAGACACUGCAGCCACUGCUGUGCUCAGAAGGUUGAAAGUCUACUUGAACACACACAUGCUAGGCUGGUCAAACUCACUGCUGCAAGGAACAGUAGGACCCUCAUCAUCCUCAGCUCUUGCUUGGAUCUUCUUCUCCAAUUCCUGGGUCUGCUUCUCCAUGUCCUGCAUAAACAAAUGUGCUGAAGCAAAAUGUGCCAACUUGAACAAGUUACCUGCAUUAUCAACAUGGAGGUGGUGAGGGACAGGGGCAGAAUUCAAUCAUUCUCAUGGGAUCCACUUUGCUUCCAUGAAUUCUAGUUUGUUUCUGCUCUGCCUUGCUUCCCAUCCAGUUUUACUCCCCACUCACAAGCCUUGUCCAUCCAUAGUGACUUCAGGGCACCAACAGACAGUGCAGAGGCAGAACCCUUCCAAGGCCUUGCUCACAGCUCCAACAGCUUCAUGCAGACAGUGAAAUGCCUGUAAGUCAUUCUGGUGUGCUGAUCAAACCUGAACUGACAUAUGAGUGCUUCCAUUGCUGUCCCUUCCAUUUUAUUUAGAUGCAAAAUCCCCUACAACCUUAGGUCGGGUGGAGCUAGGAGUUUAGGCCUCAGGUGGGGUGACCUAAAGGUUCCAAAUUAAGUUAAACACUGACAACCAGGCUCACUCACCCCUCAGUUCUCAGUGGCACACACCUGCUUCAUGCCAGACCUGGGGCUGGCUUCUAGGAAUAUACAGGCUCUCCCUUUGAGGAUUUCACCAUUAACUGUCAUCCUUUUGGGUGGGAACUACAAAGCCCAUACACAAAUGCCGAAAGCAAAGAAAAGGAAGAAUUUCAGUUGGGGGUGAAGGACAUCAAUUUCCCACUGGAGAGGGCCUGAUGGAAGGCAGAGGCUGCAUCUCCCCUCUGUGUCACCAUGGCACGGAUUCCUAACUGUGCUGACCACUCCUGGUGGCAUUUCCUAAGCGUAGGGACCAGAUCAGGUCUUUGUAACAUCACAUUUCACCUAACAUCCCUUCUAAGAUCCUUUGAAAAGUACCCAAGCUCUCAAGCUCCAGUGUGAUGAAAGAUAUUCAAAGUAUAAUUUACCAAGCAGCACCUUAUAGCCCUCAUCUCAAUCCUCCAAAAAAGGAGUAAGUGUAGUUGGCCCUCAGUAUCCUCAGGGGAUUGUUUUCAGGAUCCCCUGCAGAUAGGAUAAACCAAGGACACUCAAGUCUCUCACAUAAGAUGGCACAGUAUUUGCACAGAACCUAUGCACAUCUACCUGUAUACUUUAAAUCAUCUCUGGAUUACUUAUAAUACCUGAUACAAUGCAAAUGCUAUGUAAACAUUGUUAUACUGUAUUGAUUAGGAAAUAAUGACAAGAAAAAUGUCUGCAUGUUCAAUACAGAUGAAGUUUUUUUUCAAAUAUCUUUGAUUAACAAUUGGUUGAAUCUACGGAUAUUGAACCCACAUAUAGGAAGGCCUGGCUCUCUUUGGCCAAUGGAAGCUGUCUCCUAAAAAUUCAUUUGUUCUGGGCCAGUUAAAUUAUUUGGGGCCAGAGAUGAUAUGGUCAUGUUAUAUAGCAACAUAGGGCUUUUCUGGGCCUGCUACCAUCUUAUUUCUCCUCUAUCUUUGGAGGAUUCAUUUAGCUUUUUAGUACACAUUUGUGUUAAAAGAAGUACAAUUUAGCAAGAGGAAGAUCUCUCUCUGCUCUAAUUUUUUAGUUCAUUUUCUUAAUCCAGAUCUGAGCUCAGACAUGGUAGAACUAGAAAGGAAUGGAUAAAGAUUCUCACAUUCCAUGCCUUAGCAACACAGGCUGAUUUUAUACUCCUUCACUGUCCAGUGCAAGUCCAGGGUGGGAGUGGGGAGGACUGCUCCACAGUCAUGAAGAGAUUCAGGUUCCCAGGCCCUGGAGUCUUCUACCAGAUUACUGCACCCAGUCUGUAAGGAGGGAAGAGAGAAUGGAGCAGGGUACAGGAAGGUCUAUGGGCCACAUCUGGACACAAUGGAUUUCACAUCUGGACACAGCUCAUUGGCCAGAACUAAUCAAAAGGCUUGACCGAGUACAAAGAUAGGGUGCUGUGGUGGUUAAGCUUCACUGUGCUGAUUGGUUUGUGAGCCACCUAUGGGAUUGGUAAAGCACACUGGUGGGUAUGUCUGGGUGGAUCAUGGAGAUUUGACUGUGGGCACUAUAUCUGGUCCCUCACAUCUUCCUCACUGACACUUUCCCCUGCUCUGCUUCCCAGCUGCCAUGAACUGAAGCUCUUGCUCUGCCACACCCAUCCACCAUAGCAUUUUUGCCUGGAAGCCAGCUGACCAGGGCCCCCAAGGAGGUUGCCAAAGUGCCGCCUGGUGUUCCUAAGCACAGGAUGGCUGUGAUGUGGCUUCCAAAGAAAAGACAGGGGAUUCCACAUGUGAUCUCAGGUCAAGCAUCCGGAAAGAGGUUUUGGGAAGCCCAUCUGGAUCCAAAGACUCCAGUUUUCUCCUUGGUCAGAAAUCCAGGCACAGAGAAGCUGAAUUUUCUCUGUUCAGGCUCUGGAAAGGCUGGAAUCAGGGUGUCUGCUAGGCUGCAUUGUCCUCUGGAGCUCAGGAUCCUCUUCCCAGCUCAUUCAGGGAGGAAGAAGUGGGGACAAAGUUGCCUGUGACACUCUGCAAACUAGAGAGACCGUCAUGCCAUUAUGAGACCAGAGGAAUUGUUUUCUGUCCAUCUUUCCUGGCUACUGCUCCCCCUUCGCCUAAAAGGGAAGUUCUCUGGAGCACAGAAUUCAACAGCCAAACCCCUCUGAAAGAAGAAAGGCAGCUUUCAGAAACAAAAGAAGGUAGGAGAGUAAGCUUUUCCCAUGGUGAGUUGCAAACAAAUACGAGUAUCUGAUACCAACUAUUUCCACAGAGAAGACUUUCAAGUUUUCCUCAUACACUGCAGAGUAAAAAUGCUUUUCUGAAAAGAGAAUAUGGAAAACCAGAAUUGGUAAUACCUACUCUGAGAGCAUACAUUGAUGCCCGUCCAAAAAUUCUUUAAUCCUUAAAGGAUAUCAUUUAUGCAAUAAACAGUCCUUAAAAAUCAGUCAAUGAUUGUUGUUAGUAGUUUGUGAAAAUGCCAAUGUUAAUAUGAUGUUUACCAAAAAAAAAACAUCCCUGAUUAGCUUAUGUACCUACCUGAGACUAUAAACACCCCUGCCAGUGAGAAGGCCUUUCAUGCCACUGUGGCUCAAGGCAUCAUCUAGUGGCAGCUUCUCUAAUUGCAGAUCCAUUGACAGAAGCAAGGCUGGGAGAGGUUGAUGGAGAAUCUGUACCUAUAGUUUCAGCCAGAAUGACACCACUGGGUUUUAUCUUUAGGUUGAUCUCAGAGUUAUUAUGAGGGUAAGGACACAGAGGUUCUCAUUUUGUUAGAGCAAGACACAGAAAGAGAGACAGAGAGACACGCAGAGACAGACACUGGGGAGACACUAAGAGUUUAGCGGAAAACACAUCUUUGCUGCUACUUUUACAGCUAGCAGAAUAUUAAUCACCAACAUAAAGAGUCCCUUGAAGGACCAUGUUCUAUAAAUUCAAAUUUUAUAUGCAAUCCUCCGAAGUCUAUAAAAAUUGACAGGAGUAGUUGUUUCCACUAGUCAUAAAUCAAAGGAGUGGGAAAGGAAGGAUUUGAGUCCAGUUGUCCCUACCUCUAAGCUUUCCACGUUGCUCCCUCUGCCCCAAGGGCUGGCUCUGUGCCCACCAGAGGGUGAGAAAGCUCCUAGGGCCGAGAUUCCCCUUGCCUGGCAGACUUGGUGCAUUUAGUUCCCUCCAACUGCGCUUCCUAGCCCUGGCUUUCACUCCCAGAGCACAUUCAUCUGGGCCUCAGACUCCAGCCCUCCCUCCACCUCCCUUCAAACUUUCAAAACCCUGCUAUUUCCACUUGGGUUCUGCAAUUCUCUCUCCACAUCAGCUUGUAUUUUUGAAAAUUAAAAAAAAAAAUUACAUUCCCAGAGAUCAAUCCAACAAGAUUCUUAGCUCAGUUUUCUUUUGUCCUCUCUCUCUCCCUCCCUCCAUUCUCCCUCCUUCUUUUCUUUUGGUGUGUUACUUUUUCAAUUCUUUUCAAUAGCUUAAAACUUUUUUUAAAAAGUUCUUAAGCACACAACAAAUAUUUGGGUCACAGCUUGCUUUAAUGAUAUGCUUUUGAAAUGGUGGUUUUAAUCCUGGAUGCAUUUUUGGUGGUUGUUUUCCUUCCGCAGUGAGAAGCCAAAGGUACUUCUGCCAGGGAGUGGAAGUAGGAGAGCUGGGGACUCCGUUUCCCAAGGGCUUCUUUGUUCUUGGCUCUGCGGAGGCCACUCUAGCACCCUGGCUGGUUCUGCAGUCCUCAGAGCAAUGUCCUUCCUGGUCUCAGUCUAGACAGGACUUAGAGGCCGCUGUCUCUAGGGGCGCCAGGUCUUCCUGUCUGCCCUUAGCCACUUCCCUGCAGGCAAAACCAGGUCCAAGUUCACAGCUGUGAGGGGAAAACAAGCCUCCUGUGAACAGCAGGAAGCUUGCAUGGCAGUUAGGGGCUGCGGCAGAAUAGGCCAGGGAUGAGGAAUGGGCUGAGCACAUGCAUGGCAGCCUGGUGGAAGAAGACCCCACCACAGCUGGGCAAAGUUAGCUCAGAAAGGUCCGGGUUUAAUUUGCCCAGUUUUAUUACAGGAGGGUACCAAGUAUAAAAGCAGGGCACCCAGUUGAAUUUGAAUUUCAGAUACAAAACAAAUAUUUUCUCAGCAUAUCACAUGCACUUGAGAAAAACUUGUACUAAAAUUUUAUUUCAGUUACUGUAGUAUUUCACUGUAGUAAAGACAUCAGGAUGCUUCUCCAUCAGGGUCUGUUUAUCAACAACAGAGGCUUUUCUCUGGCUUUCAAAGCAAAUUUGGCAUAAGCCAGGAUACAUUCUGAGGGGAGAAGGCAGGAUCAGUGCCCAUUUGUCCGAGGACAAUGCCUCUGCUUUUCCUUUUAUCAAAAGCCAGAGAGGAGAUGGCUCCCUGUCCCCUACAGGAAGUGCAGGGGGCCCUCAGAUUCAGCCAACUGCAGACCAGAAAUACUUAGGCAAACACUACAUCUGCACAGAUUAUAUACAAACAUGAUUCCCUACACCACAAAGUGCUAUAACUCUUUACAUAUCGUGUACAUUGUGUUGGGUUUUAUAAGUCAUCUAGAGAUUGCCUGAAGAUGUAGGCAGGUUCUUUGCAAACACCACUGCCUUUUAUAGGAGGGACUUGAGCAUCCCAGGACAAGUGCCCCCACCACUCCUGUCCCCCAUCACUCAUAUGGGAUAAAAAGUAAGGAAUAGGUACGACAAUGUGAAUGGAGUUACUGCAACUUAAAAUGGCUCAAAGGGUGAGUUUAGGGUUAUGUAUAUUUUACCAUCAUUUUUUAGAAAGGUAAGGAGCAGGGAGAUGGUCCCACCACUGGAUGAUCUAGGGCUCGGUGCAGAGCCUGGCAUGUCAAGUGCGUGGCCUUGUUUCUCAACCUUCUCCUCACUCGCUCCUGCCUGCUGCAGUCUGGUGAAGUCACACCUGGCCUAGCUUCCCGUUUGCCUCCACCUGCCCUUUCCUCCAGCCGUGUGCACACUCGCAGCCAUCCCUGCAUGUAUCUCUGUCCACACCACCUCUUUCCUUAGGAGACUUGGCUGCUCUAUCAGGCUCAUCUCCGAGGUCUCACCAGGAAGCCCUCUCUGGAGCUGUCCUCAUCCACCUGGGUUGCAGGGCAGACCGGGCCUGGAUUUCUCCUGCUGUUUAAGAAAUACUUGUCACAACUGAGCCCUCAACAAUUUCAUUUUCUGUUUUCCAAAUGUCAAAUCAGCUUCUCAGUAGCCGAGCAUAACGUGUAUCCUCCUUCAGCUCCAAACCUCACAACUCACAGGUACAAAGCUUUCUUAGAACAAAAUACCUUUGAUGUGCCUGGCACCUCACGCUUCCUCUGCCAGGCAUCUUGAUGCUGGGUGUCGCAUCCUUCUGCCUCACUGUGGCCACACUGUGGGGACCUGUUCGAGGCCUGGUGAGGCCACCAAUGAGUCAUGGUCACUCCCUGGAGCUCCCACUUCUGUCCCAGGAGCAGCCUGCAUCCCUCCAGGACAAGCCCACUUCCUUCUCUGUUUCGGUUUCCCUUCCAUAGUUCCCAGACCCUACCAGCUCCUGCCAGAAAGCUUUUCCUAACUCCAGUGACCUCACCAGUGUCCCCAUCAAAUUCAUAUUCCCUAGAGCCUCAGAAUGUGACCUUAUUUAGAAACAGGGCUUUUGUAGGCAUAGUUAGGGCAAGAGCUGAAAUGAAAUCACAUUCGAUUAGAAUAAGCCCUAAGUGCAAUGACAGAAAAGAUGCGGGGAGCCACGGUAAAGAACGGGUGUGGAGCUGGAGGUAGAGUUUGGAGUGAAUGCCAAGAACUGCCCGUGAGUGCCAGGACAAAGGACAGAUGCCUGGAGAGAACUCUUCCUCGGAGCCUGCAGAGGGAACCAACUCACCUGAACCUGGACUUCUGACUCCUGGCCUCCUGAAGUGUGUGACAAUAAAUUUCUGCUGUUCUAGGCCACUCUGUGUAUGGUAAUUUGUUAUGACAGCCCGGGAAAACUAAUACACAAACUAAGUGACAGGGUUCUGGGUCUCGGUCUGCUGAACAGGC